AUUCUCCUUGAUUCUCAGGAGCAGUUCUCUGAUCUCAUCUGCAAACUCUUUUGAUACUUUGGGAUAGAAUUUGUAUUAACAGAAGUUUUGAAGUCAUUCAGAAUGCCACAUGACCAACGUGGGGUCACCAAUUGGAACAGGGAAGAGAUGUGCACAAUGGCCCUCUCUCCAGCUUGUGUGAGCCGGCUCCAACACACAUCCUGUGGAGCGAGAGUUUGGUUGAAAUUUUUAAAAAAUGAAAUAGAACCACAAAGAAAAUAUCAGAACACAUUGCACUUAGUAAAGAACAAGGGGGAGUCUCCCUGCACAAGCUCUCUCUCUUUGCCUGCUGUCAUCCACCUAAGAUGUAACUUGCUCCUCCUUGCCUUCCACCAUGAUUGUGAGGCUUCCCCAGCCACGUGGAACUAAUGAGGCAGAAGUUACACUGUGCCAGUUUGGGCCCAGCUCUUCACAGGCCUGGCAGCUUCCACUUUUGCUCUCUUAAAAUCCAGCUUUCCUGCUGAAGAGGCUGCGUGGGGAAGAAUCCUGGAAAAUGACAGGACACCUUGAACAUUCAAGCCCUAGGUGAGCAGUCAGCUGAGUGCAACCACAUGAAGGAUCAUAGCUGACACAACCUAGUGCUGAGAAGAACUGGCCCUGCUGAGCCCUGACCAAAUUGUAGAAUUAUGAGCAAACACAUGGUAGCUUUAAGCCACAAAGUUUGAGGGUGUUUUCUUUUGUAAUAAUAAACAUUUGCUCUACUAUACA
Molecule: long non-coding RNA, 747 nt
Filed under: Homo sapiens (human)
Lineage: Eukaryota; Metazoa; Chordata; Mammalia; Primates; Hominidae
Description: non-protein coding lnc-CCDC71L-1:7
Source: RNAcentral